GCUGGCACAAUCAUCCCAACCUCACAGAUGGGGACACCAAGGGAGUGGCUCUUCCUAGUGACUUCACAUUCAGAGGGACGGUGACAAGGCUCCUGAGCUCAAGGUUAUUCCUCUAAAUUGGUGCUUCUUGAGAGAUGGCACCAACUGGGAGAACCCCAAGCCCUCUUCUCCACCUUCUCAUCGGAAAACUGGGGUGUGGGGCUUAGAUCUGAAAAUGUGCAUGGUGAGGGGGGACUGGUAAUUGAACUCAGGGGCACUUGGCCACUGAGCCACAUCCAAGCCCUAUUUUGUAUUUUAUUUAGAGACAGGGUCUCUCUGAGUUGCUUAGUGCCUUGCUUUUGCUGAGGCUGGUUUUGAACUCCCGAUUCUCCUGCCUCAGCCUCCCAAGUAUCUGGGAUGACAAGCUUGCGCCACUACACCUGGCUGAAAAUGUGCAUUUUGGUACACUCCUGUGUGACUCUACUUUGGUUGCAAUAGGAGAGCAGAUGGGUGGCCUAUUCAGGAAGCACUUGUCCCUUGCCACAGUAAGGGGUGCUCAUGUGGGGCUGCAGAGAGAAGUCCGAGGCAGAUAUCUGUGGCUAGACCAUGCCAGCACUGGAGCAGCAGAGAGGCCAGGCUGGCUGAUCCUCAAGUAAUCCUGAAAAAAAUGCUUGAAUACCUACAUCUAUAUACAUA
RNAcentral lists this long non-coding RNA (675 nucleotides) under Marmota monax (woodchuck). The record is from RNAcentral. Lineage: Eukaryota; Metazoa; Chordata; Mammalia; Rodentia; Sciuridae.